This 468-nucleotide ribosomal RNA is filed under the name uncultured bacterium. Its description in RNAcentral is "partial 16S ribosomal RNA". It matches the Rfam family "Bacterial small subunit ribosomal RNA", at positions 28 to 507 of the family's 1533-position model. The record is from RNAcentral.
GACGAACGCUGGCGGCGUGCUUAACACAUGCCAGUCGAACGGAAAGGCCCUGCUUUUGUGGGGUGCUCGAGUGGCGAACGGGUGAGUAACACGUGAGUAACCUGCCCUUGACUUUGGGAUAACUUCAGGAAACUGGGGCUAAUACCGGAUAGGAGCUCCUGCUGCAUGGUGGUGGUUGGAAAGUUUCGGCGGUUGGGGAUGGACUCGCGGCUUAUCAGCUUGUUGGUGGGGUAGUGGCUUACCAAGGCUUUGACGGGUAGCCGGCCUGAGAGGGUGACCGGCGACAUUGGGACUGAGAGACGGAGCAGACGCCUACGGGAGGCAGCAGUGGGAAAUAUUGCACAAUGGGCGGAAGCGUGAUGCAGCAACGCCGCGUGCGGGAUGACGGCCUUCGGGGUAUAAACCGCUUUCGCCUGUGACGAAGCGUGAGUGACGGUAAUGGGUAAAGAAGCACCGGCUAACUACGUG